UGCACCAAACUGCACUGACUCGAGGCUGCA
RNAcentral lists this non-coding RNA (30 nucleotides) under Rattus norvegicus (Norway rat). The record is from RNAcentral. Lineage: Eukaryota; Metazoa; Chordata; Mammalia; Rodentia; Muridae.